UCGAAACCUGCCCAGCAGAACGACCCGCGAACGUGUUUCUUAAGUCGGCUUAUGCUAGCAGUGGUCGUUCACAUGGCCUCGAUCGGGGGAUUAGGGAGCGCGGGCCUAGCCCACCCCUACAUCCCUCGUUCUUUGGUUGGCUUCUGCUAGCAUUGGCCCUUCACAUGCCCUCGAUCGGGAGAUUAGGGAGCGCGGGCCUAGCCCCCCCUACAUCCUCCGUUCUUGGCUUCUAACAAACCCCCGGCGCGGAAAGCGCCAAGGAAUUACGAGCAAAAUGAACGGUCGCUCCGAUUGCCCCGGAAACGGUGUGCAGAAGGGACGAUUCGUGAAUUGAGAAUCAAAACGACUCUCGGCAACGGAUAUCUCGGCUCUCGCAUCGAUGAAGAACGCAGCGAAAUGCGAUACUUGGUGUGAAUUGCAGGAUCCCGCGAACCAUCGAGUUUUUGAACGCAAGUUGCGCCCGAAGCCUUCUGGCCGAGGGCACGUCUGCCUGGGUGUCACUCAACCGUCGUCCCGAUUCCUUCCUCUUUGGAACGGCUGUAAAUCGGGCGGAAGAUGGCCUCCCGUUUGCUUUUCGCAUGCAUGCGGUUGGCCCAAAUGUCCGGUCCCUGGCAUCGUCGCCACGGCAAUCGGUGGUUGUACGACCCUCGCUAAAUGCUGUGAUCGAUCCGAUGCCGGUGUGACCUACGAGGCCCCAAAGCGUAUCGAAAGACGCGCUCGGAAUGCGACC
RNAcentral lists this ribosomal RNA (730 nucleotides) under Euphorbia micromera. RNAcentral's name for it is "eukaryotic LSU rRNA". The stretch from base 345 to 500 matches the Rfam family "5.8S ribosomal RNA". The record is from RNAcentral. Lineage: Eukaryota; Viridiplantae; Streptophyta; Magnoliopsida; Malpighiales; Euphorbiaceae.